AGAAGGUGCUUGCACUGGAAGUUGAUUGACGUGAGUGGCGGACGGGUGAGUAACACGUGGGUAACCUGCCCUUAAGCGGGGGAUAACAUUUGGAAACAGAUGCUAAUACCGCAUAAAAGUUGAGAUCACAUGGUCUUAAUUUGAAAGACGGCCUUUGGCUGUCACUUAAGGAUGGACCCGCGGCGUAUUAGCUAGUUGGUGAGAUAAUAGCCCACCAAGGCGAUGAUACGUAGCCGACCUGAGAGGGUAAUCGGCCACAUUGGGACUGAGACACGGCCCAAACUCCUACGGGAGGCAGCAGUAGGGAAUCUUCCACAAUGGACGAAAGUCUGAUGGAGCAACGCCGCGUGAGUGAAGAAGGUUUUCGGAUCGUAAAACUCUGUUGUUGGAGAAGAACAGGGACUAGAGUAACUGUUAGUCCUUUGACGGUAUCCAACCAGAAAGCCACGGCUAACUACGUGCCAGCAGCCGCGGUAAUACGUAGGUGGCAAGCGUUGUCCGGAUUUAUUGGGCGUACAGCGAGCUCACGCGGUUUCUUAAGUCUGAUGUGAAAGCCUUCUGCUUAACCCAAGAAGUGCAUCAGAUACUGGGAAACUGGAGUGCAGAAGAAGAAAGUGGAACUCCAUGUGUAGCGGUGAAAUGCGUAGAUAUAUGGAAGAACACCAGUGGCGAAGGCGGCUUUUUGGUCUGUAACUGACGCUGAGGCUGGAAAGUAUGGGGAGCGAACAGGAUUAGAUACCCUGGUAGUCCAUACCGUAAACGAUGAAUGUUAAGUGUUGGAGGGUUUCCGCCCUUCAGUGCUGCAGCUAACGCAUUAAGCAUUCCGCCUGGGGAGUACGACCGCAAGGUUGAAAUUCAAAGGAAUUGACGGGGGCCCGCACAAGCGGUGGAGCAUGUGGUUUAAUUCGAAGCUACGCGAAGAACCUUACCAGGUCUUGACAUCUAGCGCCAAUCCUAGAGAUAGGACGUUCCCUUCGGGGACGCUAAGACGGGUGGUGCAUGGUUGUCGUCAGCUCGUGUCGUGAGAUGUUGGGUUAAGUCCCGCAACGAGCGCAACCCUUAUGAUUAGUUGCCAGCAUUUAGUUGGGCACUCAAAUCAGACUGCCGGUGACAAACCGGAGGAAGGUGGGGA
RNAcentral lists this ribosomal RNA (1132 nucleotides) under uncultured bacterium. RNAcentral's name for it is "bacterial SSU rRNA". It matches the Rfam family "Bacterial small subunit ribosomal RNA", at positions 71 to 1179 of the family's 1533-position model. The record is from RNAcentral.